GUUGGUAAAAGUAAAAAUGAGUGCCAGUGUCUUGUUAUUAUUACUCUCAUAUGUCACAGCUCACAAGGACAGAGAGAGCCAUAAUAGAGUGUGUCUUUAACAUCUUUCAUGUGAACAGUGACUCUGCAGAAACCCAGAAGCAAUGCAGACCUUUUGUUUCUCCUUCCUCCUUCUGCUAUCAUGCGCACCUUCCCCUCUAUCCUACGCCUCCUCCGCCCUCAAUCUCGGCCGUCGUCACCUCUCCGACGACGCAGGAUCAGCUCUUCUCACUCCUGCUUCACCCACAAGUCCUCCUUUCUUCCCUCUCGAAUCCUCCGCUCCUCCUCUUCCUCCUCCGCCGUCUCCGCCCACCUUCGCCGCCUUUCCUACUACUUUUCCCGCCAACAUCUCCGCCCUCGUCCUCCCCCGCUCUCCCAAACCGCAUUCCACCUCCCCUGCUAUCCUUGUCCCGGCCAUCUCCGCCGUCCUCGUUGUCGCUGCGGUUCUCGGCGUCGCUUUGUUUCUCUACGGCCGGUGGAAAGGGCAAAACCGUCAUUUCAAAGACACUAAUACUACUCUUGGUGGUGGUAGUAGUAGUAGUAGUCAUACCUCGGAGGAGAGACACGUCAUCACCAACAACUUCUCUGUCUCCGCUUCUUCUCCAACCUCUGAGGUUCUAUACCUCGGAGGAGAGGAGGAGCCUGACCGUGUUGUAACGAGUUUCGUCAAGCCUCCUGAGUCGCCGGAGAUACGGCCUCUCCCUCCGUUGCCUCGUAGCUUCCAGCCUAGCUACGAAGCUGAGAUUCACUCCGAGAGAAACGAAGAAGAAGAAGACGAAGAAGAAGAAGAAGAGUUCUUCUCUCCUCUAGCUUCUUUAGCUAGCUCCGCGAACUCAAGUCCAUCUCGCUCCGGUUUCGAGCAAAGCUCCUGCUCCUCCUCCUCCUCCGGCUGGGUUUCUCCGGCGAGGUCCUUCUCCAUGACUUUAUCUCCGGUUCAGCAGCAACGCUCGUUCAGUAGACUCUCUGACGUCUCUUUGGAACAAAGCCUUCAGUCUUUGUCGCCGGAGAGGCUAAGAGUGAGGAACAAUAACGGACACGUGUCGUCUUCUUUAAGAAUGUUUAGCUUCUUUAAUCAGAAUCUGAGCUUCCCUCGUAUCUCCUCUGCUUCCACCUCGCCGGAUAGAGGAGGUUUCGUGCGAACGCCUCUCUCGUCUCUCUACUCGUCUGUUUCGAACUCUCCCGACGGGUUGUUCAGGAAGUUUAUAAACAGCUCCCCGCCGAUUUGGAACGACUUUAGCCGGAAUGUCAAGUCGGUGUUGCUCUCCUCUGAGUCGGUUUCGUCAAGGAGAGACUUUGUUAUCAACAUCGGUGGCCAAGCAGGAGCAGUAGCAGCUCCUCCUCCGACUAGACCGCCUCCUCUUGUCCCACCUUCACAGUCUUUCGUGGUUCAAAAUGAUGUGAAAAAACCAUCCUUUUCCGACAAAGUCAAUCAAGGUUCUUGCCAGAACACAGCUUGGGAUUGUCUUAAGGCGAACUCGUUCAAGUUAAACAAAGAGAUUGUAGAGACUCUGUUCAUCUCAAACUCGUCAAGUCCAAACUUAAACCAGAGAGGUCUGACUUAUGAUCUACCGACUCAAAAUGAAGUUUCAUACCAGAACAUUGCUACUCGCCUUCAACUACUUAACUUGACCACAAAGGAUGUUUCUAACGCUCUUCUUGAAGGUGAUUCUGGUGCACUUGGAGCUGAGCUUCUUGACUGUCUAUCAAGAUUGGCACCUAGUAAAGAAGAAGAGAGGAAGCUGAGGAACGCUAGUGAUGAUUCAGUGAUUAUCAAGCUUACUCCAGCUGAAAGGUUUCUUAAGGAGUUGCUUCAAGUGCCGUUCGUGUUCAAACGGGUUGAUGCAUUGCUCUCUGUGGCUAACUUCUACCCUGAGGUUGAAUAUCUCAGACGAUCAUUCGGUGUUGUACAGGCUGCUUGUGAAGAGCUGAGGAAUAAUAAAACGUUCUCGAGACUUCUUGAAGCUAUACUCAAGACAGGAAACAAGAUGAGCGUUGGAACAAACUCUCACGCUUUCAAGUUCGACACUCUCCUCAAGCUCGCUGAGGUCAAGGGACUAGACGGAAGAAGCAGCGUCUUGCAUUUCGCUGUUCAGGAGAUGAUAAAAUCAGAAGGCUCUGUGAAGGCUUUAGACCGGAUCAGAAACCUGAGCUCAGAGAUGGAGACAGUCAAGAAAUCAGCUGACAUUGAGUACGGUGUUCUGACAAACGGUGUGUUGAAGCUUUACCAAGGAAUCAGGAGCAUCAAGGAGCUUUUGAUACUGAGCGAGGAGAGUGGAUGUAGUGGAGAUCAGUGGAUGAAGUUCGAGACUAAGAUGGGUCGGUUCUUGGAAACUGCUGGUGAGGAGAUUGUGAGGAUCAAAGCACAAGAGAGCUCAACGCUGUCUGCGUUGGAAGAGGUCACAGAGCUAUUCCAUGGAGGCUCUUUCAAGGAAGAAGGUCACACGUUGAGAGUUUUCAUGGCUGUGAGAGACUUCCUGUCUACUCUAGACGAAGUAUGUAACGACAUGGGAGAAAGAUUCUCAGCUUAAGAUUUUCAAAAUGUAGUUGAAGUAGCAGAUCAACAAAGUAGUUUAUUAGGAAGUAAUCUUCAGUUUUUGUGUUAUCUCUAGAAUGAGAUGACCUCUAAACUUAAGGUAUCUUGCAAUCUGUUAACCUGCACUGUUUUAGCUUGAAGUAGCAUUAGAUGUACGGAUUUUAAGACAUUUCUUGUACUUUCUCUCAACUUGAAACCAUUUUCUCCCAAGACAUAAGCCUAGAUUUGAGUUUUUUUUU
RNA transcript from Brassica rapa (field mustard), 2810 nucleotides. It is a transcript of the gene named formin-like protein 9, with no coding region annotated. The record is from RefSeq and is a predicted model, not a curated record. Lineage: Eukaryota; Viridiplantae; Streptophyta; Magnoliopsida; Brassicales; Brassicaceae.